RNAcentral lists this non-coding RNA (30 nucleotides) under Mus musculus (house mouse). Lineage: Eukaryota; Metazoa; Chordata; Mammalia; Rodentia; Muridae. The record is from RNAcentral.
UGGCAAAAGAAUUCCCAAGGAGGAAGAGGA